Molecule: long non-coding RNA, 5140 nt
Filed under: Sus scrofa (pig)
Lineage: Eukaryota; Metazoa; Chordata; Mammalia; Artiodactyla; Suidae
Description: lncRNA (ENSSSCG00025060356.1)
Source: RNAcentral
UUUUUGCUAUUUCUUUGGGCCACUCCCGCAGCAUACGGAGGUUCCCAGGCUAGGGGUCGAAUCGGAACUGUAGCCGCCAGCCUAGGCCAGAGCCACAGCAAUGCGGGAUCCCAGCCGUGUUUGCGACCUACACCACAGCUCACUGCAACGCCGGAUCGUUAACCCACUGAGCAAGGGCAGGAAAUGAACCCGCAACCUCAUGGUUCCUAGUUGGAUUCGUUAACCACUGCGCCACAACGGGAACUCCGCACCCGUUCAAUUUUUAGUGUGAAGUUUUGUGUUAGCCAGGAGUUAGAUAGGUUUUUUAUUUAUUUAUUUUUUAUUGUUACUUCCCCAAUACAAUUUUUUUUUCUGCUGUACACAUGGAGACGCAGUUACACAUACAUGUAUACAUUCUUUUAUCUCAAAUUAUCAUGCUCCCAUCAUAAGUGACUAGACAUAGUUUUGAACUUGCUGUUGCUAUGUUCGCCUUUAGUGGAAAAUAGUUUUCAAAUAGUUAUCGAUACCUGUGUUUAAAGUACAGGCUGGCUUCCCAACGUUUUUUCCUCCAUUUCUAUUCCACCUUUGCGGUCCAAUCUUCCCUUUUAGUGUGUUUCACAGGAGGUCUGUCUCUUGAAGUUUACCCCGCAAUCCUGGCCCUGUGGCAGAAAGUGAAGGAGAGAAGCAUCCCUGGGUCUCCUGGAUGUGGCUUUCAUGUUCCUGCUCCUUCCCCCAGUUAGAGUUUUUAUUAAAAAUAUGUCCUCACCACUUCUCUAGGGCUGGAGGGUUGUUUCUUAUUUCUUCUGCCAGGUGCAAUGGGUUUUCAUCAGUGCCAGAAGAAAUACAUUUUUUUUAUUGUCCUUCUCUCUUUACAUUAAGGUUUUUUGUUUCUUAAAGGAGACAGUGGAGAAAACUGAGAUUGGGGCAGGGGUGCUGAGGGACAGUUUCAUGUCUCAUUUUCAAUGUCUACUUUCUUUCUUUCUCCUACACAAAAGAAGCUGUCUCUGGGACUUUCGCAUUCUUUCCAUUUAUCACCUGGUGGGUUUCAUGGGUAAAACGACUGCUGGAGUGCAAGUUCCCCUCCCCAAUACCUGUGUCCCCCCUCCAAUUUCACCCUUCACCUUCCACCAGUCUGCACUCUACCUUCAACUUGAGAGUUAUCCUAGUGAGUUCCUGGUAGUGUCUGGUGACCCCUGCCUUAGGAAACAAGUGUUUGUAUUCUAUCUCUUUCUAUAGCCAACUGCCUCUCCCCAGCUUUCUAGAUGACUUCCUGUCUUAUGUACUUAGCUCUCUGACAGGUUUGAGAAAAACUGUGAAUUUUCAAUUUGUCCAGCUUUUUUACUUCUGCAGUUGCUGGAGCAGAAUUCCUAGCUUUCUACAUCCUGUAGCAGAAACCAUACCUCAAUAAGACCAAAGAAAAAAAGAAUUACAAAUUGUUCUCUAAUUUUUUUUCCUUCACAAUGCUGUAUAUAUCACCUAGACUGUAAUUUCUAUAAACAUAUUUCUGUUUGAAUAAGUGCUGUUCAUGGUUUAUGGUUUUGAUUGAUUGUUGGGUAAGAGCUCUUCUGAAAAAAAUUAAACUCAAUAGGCACUGUUGCCGAGUUUGCCAUUUUAAACAAUAGCAAAUGGCACAGUUUUUAACUUUUUAAAUGUGGUAGCUGUUUAGGGUCUACCUGGGUCUUUAGAAAUAUACUACUAACUUUGGUUUUCUGCUUGACCAAAUCAAAUGGAAUCUGAGACCAGGGACACAUUAUCAGUGUGAAGACUACAGUAGGUUGAGUUGGCAAGAGAUUACAGUAUUUUAAUGAGUGGACAGAAGCUGAGUUGGUAGUACACAGAGAAGACAGAAACAAUUUAAGGCACAGUAUAUAGGUGGUGGCUCUGAUUAUUUCUGGAGACAAUUUAUUUCUUUUUAUGCAUAACUUAAUUCCUCCUAUUGGCCUUAGAUGUGGUUUUCUAUUAGCCAACACUGGAGAGCUGAUGUAUCUAAGAAGAAAAUGUGAUCCUUGAAUACCUAGAAAAAUAUUUAAUGAUGCUAAGGCAAGAAAGAAAGGAGGGAGGGAGGAAAGAAGGAAGGAAAGAAAGAGAAAAAGGUACAACUUUUCUUAGGCUCAGGUCUCUGCAAACAAUUAUGGAUCAGAUAUGCGUUCCUUAAACAUGUGGUCCAACCAACCUGAGAUUCAGACUUUACACAUAGAAAUUACUAUGCUGUUUGUGUAUAAAAAAUUACUGCAAACAAUGUUAUGUCUUUAGAAAAAAGAAAGAAGAUUUCAACAGCAACUUAAAGUUAUUCUUCUUGAGUCUAGUUUAAGAGAAGAACACAUAAGGAGAAAAAUAAAUAAAAAGGAGGUUUUAAAAUAUUACUCUGGUAUUCCGUCUUUCCUUCAACAUUAAUAGCCAUAACUUUGUGUUUGCAGGCACACAAAGAUAGACUGUCAUUCGAACUUGCAUUAAAGGCUAAACUUGAUUAUCAAAAUUUAGCUAAAGGUAAUCAGAUGUACUAGAAUAUUUCUGAUUUGGUCAAGAGGUUCUUAGUAUAUUGCAACAAAACUUAACAGAGAUUAUGACUUAGAGAUAGUAUUUAAUUUCAAGUGAUUAAAAAGCAUUUACCCUUAAAAUUCACAGGAACUGUAAAGAUCAUCAAUUCUAAUCCCAAACAAAUUAGGUCCACAAAUCAACCUCACUGAAAAUACAUGAAAGUAUUUAAAAAUUGAUGAAAUUUUGGCCUUAUCUCUGAGAUAGGAAUCAGUAUGUAUUUUGUGAUUGCCUAGAAGGUAACCCACAGUUUUGUGUCUUAACCAGAAUUUAGAACAACUAUGUAUAGUUCAACCUAUAUUUUAAUUCUUUAAUUAUGACUCAUGAUCUUACAUUACUAAGCUUUAAUGAUGUAAGUUAGUUAUAUUUUGGUACAAAUAACAUUGAAAGUUAGGAAAAAAAAAAAAAUACCGAACAUUUCUGUCUUCUCACUAUACAGUUCGGUGAGCUAAUUUGCAAGAUCACCAUCUAGUGGCAAAUUUGUCUCAUUGCAAGCACACAGUCCCUAGAGCCCAAGAAGGAUUUCUAAAGAUAUGUAGCCUGGCAAAUCCAUCUGAGAUACAAGAUGGGCAGUGUAAUUUUAACCAUAUCAGGCAGCAUUGCACAAGUGGAAAUAUUCCUCCUAGAAUUAUAAAUCAUGAGCUAAUAGCUGGGAAAUGAGUAGAAGACACAUGCUACAUGAUUAAGUAGUUAAAUGACAGGAAACUGAACAGAUUGUGUGUUUCAUUUUUGUUUAAUUCCACCCCAUUGAUGUUGACAAAGCAUCACAGUCCUACUUUUAUGAAGAUAAAUUUCAGGAAACAACCAUAAUGAAACAGGAAUGAAUGCUAGGAAUAAAGGUGUUUAUUUUUUUCCCCCUUUUAGUAGGCUUUAGAAAUUCUGCUUACCUCCUAUAGAACAGAGGUGGAAGCAGACCCCCCAUAGUAUACUCUAUACCUACUCUUUCUCUUAUAUUCCUUAAAACCAUCUUGGCACCUUCAUGAGUAUCAUAAACUUAUUCUAUGAAAGUUUGCACUCCCAUCCCUGCAAAGCCAGCUGCUUCCUUUAGCUAAAUUUGGGGAUGCUCCUUUUGGACUUGGAGCCAAUUGUUUUAUAGCUGGAACCAGCAGUCACCUAUGUGACAGGCUGAGUUUAGAGAAAGUAAGGAUAUUACUCCUUGGCCAAAAUGGAUUCUUGCAUUAAGAUUCUAUUGCACUUAAAGUUCAGACAAAUUAAUGCUUCUUGCUUUCUAGGAGUUCCAUAUUUCUGACUUAAUCUAAGAGGUCAUCAGUUAUAAGUUAUAGCAUUAUUUUGUACAACGAAGGAAGAAAAAUAUUGCCAAUUUAAUUACAACAGGUCAUAGAUUGUAAGAUGUAUCUUAAUUUCAAAUGUAGCUAAAUUAUGUUUAAAAAUAUGUUUGUAGCCUUGAAAUAUGGUAAAUACAAAUUCUACUAAUGAGAGAGAGAACUGGGAAUAAAGGCUAUAAUAAUAUUAAUUCAACAUUUUAAGUAUUGAUGUCAUCCAGUUUAAGCAGCACCCUAAGGAAAUGGAACACAGGAUAGUCAUGUUUUGAUAGAAGAAGAGGAAGAGAAAGAUAAACUACAACUGCUUCACAAGGUUGACUAAGUCCAGCUUUAUUUAGUCCAUACAACAUCCUUUGAACAACUCCUUUUAGCAAUGUUUAUUUAAAGAGGUCACUAUUUGAAGUUAGCAUGCUGAAUUCCAUAGCUGCUGACCCUCUGGAAAAAUAGCUGACUCUGAGAAAGGUUAGGAAAGGUGGGAAUAGUCUAUGAAUAAAACCUUUUCAAGCUAGAAAGAGGUCAAAGUACAGCAUGAUCAAAGACAUAGAUGAAAUGCAGAAGAAUGCAGAUAAAGGUAAAAUAAAGAGUACCCGGAGACACCAAUAAAAAGAGAAAUGCUUUCUUAAGUGGCUAGGUGUGGCUGCAAGACCAGGAAAGAGCUCUCAGACACACUGUGGAAGGACUUUACUCAUUCCAGCCUGUACACAGCAGCAGUAAAGAAAACAAAUAGAAUAAAGCAGUUGCUGAGUUUCAAUUCUAAAACAGUCCGACCUACACUGGAUGUCAGAUCUUAUAGUUAUGGGGACAGACUCCUUUUUCUCCUUGAGCUGCAUAUUAGGUUUUACAGUAAUAUAACUUUCUUUUUAACUCAGAGAGUAAAACAAAAGUAACCUAGAAAUUCUCCCCUCCCUCAAAAGCAAAGAAAUAUCUGAUGUUGGGAACAAAAUAGGAUGUUACUGAGGAUGUGUUUCAAGAAAAUAGCCAUGCCAAAUUCUGGGAGAAUAACACAGUAUCUACAUGAGAUCCUUUGAAAGAUUAGGAUUUUUUUUUUUCUUCAGGGGUAUGAAAUUUAUCAUCAAAGAAUAUUUUCUUUGAGUUUGUGUGUGUGUGUGUGUGCAUGUGUGUGUAAUUUCAAAAUUCCAACAAGGUUUAAAUAUCCUGGACACAUAGUGUUACCAUAUUAUGCCAUAUUCUUUAGUAGUUUUGUUUCAUUUUUUAGGUGACUUGAAAAUCAUGUAGCAUAACCACAAGUUAUAUGGCUGACCCUGGUUGGUAAGAGCUGUGGAGAGAGAGAGGGAGACCUUGGUGAAAUGAAAUUUUAGAACUUAAAAUAUGUUAGAUGUUCU